AAUAAACCUUAACUUUUCACUUUGUGUUUGGCUGAAUUUGGGUUCUCUGUCUCAGGCUGUGAUAGUAAAAUCUGGCCAAAAGAUGGACCCAUCGCCAGCACAGCAGUGGCGCCCUAAUGUUUAUUACUCUAUUGCCCGUCUAGAUUCCAGCAUGGGGGAAAUAAUUUCUAUGCUGCGCUCCAUGACUCCUGCCCCUCCACGCCAGUGCCCUCACAGCCUGUUUCCUCCGUGGUAAGAGAGCCUAGACUCACACCUCUUGAGCUGUUUAAGGGAGAUCCUGACCAGUGCUGUGCUUUUCUUACUCGGUGUGAGAUUCAUUUUGAGCUUCAGCCUUCUUCGUUCCCUUCUGAGCGCUCUAAGGUGGCGUUUGUUAUUUCUCUGCUAUCUGGAAAGGCUAAGCAAUGGGGCACUGUGGAGUGGCAGAAUGGUUUGGUCACGUGUGCUUCUUAUGCUGCAUUUUCCAAGGAGCUCAUCAGGGUUUUUGACCCAUUUCUAUAGGGAACCCAGUUUCCUAGUCGUGAGGCUGGCAGAUGUUUACUCUCCAUAAAACAGGGAGAGAGAAGUGUCACAUAUAUCAUUGACUUUCAUUUGUUGGCAGCUGACAGUUAUUGGAAUGAGCAUGCUCAAAUGGAUGCUUUCAUGCAAGGUCUUAAUGAGAACAUCAAGGAUGAACUGGCUACCUGGGACUACCCUGCCUCCAUUCACCAACUUGAGGACCUGGUAACCCAAAUUGAUUUACGGCUCACAGAAAGGAGGAGGGAGAGGCGUCAUAAGGAGGUUAAACCUUCCUCAGUUCACAGUCCUGUUCCCCACCUAGAACCCAAGGGUCUUCCACCCUCUUCUGAACACCGAUAUGACCAUGAGCCCAUGCAGUUGGGUCGAUCAAAGAUUUCUGUGGGGGAGCGCGAUCGACGAAGGAAAAACAACUUGUGCUUUUAUUGUGGUGGACAGGGUCAUGUUGCCUUCAAGUGUCCGUUAAAAGCCCAGGCUCAGUAGAGGUGUCAGUGUUCAUUGACCCAGGGGUAGACACAGAAUUUAUGGAUGAGUUGUUCGCCAGGGACCAUGACAUCAAGCUCCUUCCCACGUCUGACGCCCAUUAUGUCCUGGCUUUGGAUGGUCAUAGCAUCAACAGUUCACACUACAAAACAGAGGUAAUCAAACUCACACUGGGGGGCAACCAUUUGGAUGAAGUGACUUUCAGGAUCAUCAACUUGCCUAAACUACCCAUUGUUUUAGGGGCCACCUGUUUACAAAAGCACAACCCCCACAUUGACUGGCAAGCCAAAUAGAUUUUGGGCUGGGCUAAGUCCUGCUCGGCCACGUGUCUGUCUUCUGCCACCACAGAUAACAUUCCUGAAAAUGACAUUGAGGAGACAUACCCCGAUUUGUCUAAGGUGCCUCCUGAAUAUUAUGCUUUUAAGGAGGUUUUCAACAAGUCCAGACCCAUGGCACUUCCACCUCACAGACCCUAUGACUGCGCCAUUGAGCUCCUAUCCGGCACAUCUCCCCCUAGGGGUUGAUUGUAUUCAUUGUCUGGACCAGAGAACCAAGCCAUGAGGAAGUAUGUCGAUGAAUCAUUAAAGGGUGGUAUAAUCAGACCUUCUUCUCCAGCAGGGGCAGGCUUCUUCUUUGUGGGGAAGAAGGAUGGUUCCUUGAGACCAUGCAUCGACUACAGGGGACUAAACGACAUCACCAUCAAGAACCGAUACCCUCUACCACUCAUGAACACUGCUUUUGACCAGAUUCAAGGCGCCAAGAUUUUCUCCAAGCCAGACUUGAGAAACGAUUACCACCUGGUCUGCAUCAAGGAGGGGGACGAAUGGAAGAUGGCGUUUAACACUCCCACUGGUCACUAUGAGUACUGCGUAAUGCCUUUUGGUUUAACUAAUGCCCCUGCAGUGUUUCAGGCAUUGGUUAAUGAUGUCCUGAGGGACAUGGUUGGACAGUUUGUUUUUGUUUACCUUGACAUUCUGAUUUAUUCCCAGGAUCUGGAAACUCACUGAAGUCAUGUUCGGGCCGUUCUCCUCCGUCUUCUUCAAAAUCACCUGUGUGUCAAAGCUGAAAAGUGUAAGUUUCACACCACCACCACUUCAUUCUUGGGAUUCAUUAUUUCUCCUGACCAAGUCAUUGUGGAUCCUUUCAAAGUCAAGGAGGUCUUGGAAUGGCCUUCUCCUACCGAGUGCAAGCAGCUGCAAAGGUUUCUGGGGUUUGUUAACUUUUCCAGACAUUUUAUCAGACAUUAUAGCCUAGUAGUAGCCCCUCUUAACACCCUCACAUCUAAGGUCAAGUUUGUAUGGAACGAGAUGGCAGAAAGAGCAUUUGUCAAGCUCAAAUAUUUAUUUACGUCUGUUCCUGUUCUACGGUCCCCUAACCCCGAAAAACAGUUCAUAGUGGAGGUCAACACCUCUAACACUAGGGUUGGAGCAGUCUUAAGCCAAAGAAGUUGUGAUGAUCGUGUUCACCCAUGUGCCUUCUUUUCUAGGACUUUGUCCCAAGCAGAAUGCAAUUAUGAUGUGGGGGGACCGAGAACUGCUGGCAGUCAAGUUGGCUCUCGAGGAGUGGAGGCAUUGGCUAGAGGGGGCUAAGGAACCGUUUCUUGUUUGGACAGAUCAUAAGAACCUGGAGUACCUGAGAUCAGCAAAGUGCCUUAAUCCCAGGCAGGCAAGCCACCCUUGUUCACAGUCCAGGAGAAGGAAGCUGAGGUUCCUUCUGCUCAGGCCAUGGCCCUAAGAUGUCAGUGUAUCUGGAGAAAGGCAAGAAGGAUCAUGAUCAGGAUGUCGGAGGUGCAGGCACACACAGCAAAUCGUCAGAGAAUCCCUGCUCCAAGCUACCAAGUGGUACAGAAGGUUUGGCUGUCCACCAAGGACCUCCUGCUUCUGGUUGACUCCCGUAAUCUGGCACCUCAUUUUGUGGGACCUUUUCCCAUAUCCAAGAUCAUCAAUCCUGUGGCUGUUCAUUUAUGUCUGCCUCGUGCGAUGAGAGUUCACCCUACGUGGUGUCCCGUCUCGGGCAUUCCUUCCUGACUGAUCUCCUUUUCUGACCUCGUUCUCUGACUUUGCCUUGCCUCACAGAUUUUGUCUUCCUGCCUGCCCCUUGUCUGACGGAUUGGAUUUCUGGAUUUUGACUCUGAUUUCUGCCUCUGGUUUCAUGCCUUUGCCUGCCCCUUGUCCCACACCUCUAGCCCUGGAACUCAACUCUGUUUCUGUCCCUGGAUUUACGCCCCAGCCGAGCCACUGGUUUAUUCAGCCUGAGCCUGCCUGGCUCUCAAGUCCACCUGGAAUUAUUGUCAAGAGGACAAUCGCAGCUCUGUAUUCUGGUCACAGCUUCAGCUGAUUACCCUGUGGAUUUGGAUCAGUCUGCAAUCUGACUUCAUUCUGUUGGAUUCUUCCUCAUUAACUGUCUGGAUCACAUCCUCUUCUGGAUUUUGUGCCUCAUUUCCAGACUGAGAAGGUUAGUGGCUUUAUCUAACUCUUUGCAAGUCCUGAGUUUUAUUCAGCCACUAACUCGUCUCUCUGUCUUCAGUGAUUCGUGGAAGCUGACUGCUGCUCUCCUGCUUUCUGAUCCUGAGUUACUGAAUAAACCUUAACUUUUCACUUUGUUUGGCUGAAUUUGGGUUCUCUGUCUCAGGCUGUGAAAGCUGUGGGGAUGGUUUU
Molecule: long non-coding RNA, 3653 nt
Organism: Girardinichthys multiradiatus
Lineage: Eukaryota; Metazoa; Chordata; Actinopteri; Cyprinodontiformes; Goodeidae
Exons: 3
Source: RefSeq, a predicted model, not a curated record